This 501-nucleotide ribosomal RNA is filed under the name uncultured bacterium. RNAcentral describes it as "partial 16S ribosomal RNA". It matches the Rfam family "Bacterial small subunit ribosomal RNA", at positions 30 to 523 of the family's 1533-position model. The record is from RNAcentral.
AUUGAACGCCGGCGGCAGGCUUAACACAUGCAAGUCGAGCGGGGGAAGGUAGCUUGCUACCGGACCUAGCGGCGGACGGGUGAGUAAUGCUUAGGAAUCUGCCUAUUAGUGGGGGACAACAUCUCGAGAGGGAUGCUAAUACCGCAUACGUCCUACGGGAGAAAGCAGGGGAUCUUCGGACCUUGCGCUAAUAGAUGAGCCUAAGUCGGAUUAGCUAGUUGGUGGGGUAAAGGCCUACCAAGGCGACGAUCUGUAGCGGGUCUGAGAGGAUGAACCGCCACACUGGGACUGAGACACGGCCCAGACUCCUACGGGAGGCAGCAGUGGGGAAUAUUGGACAAUGGGGGGAACCCUGAUCCAGCCAUGCCGCGUGUGUGAAGAAGGCCUUAUGGUUGUAAAGCACUUUAAGCGAGGAGGAGGCUACUCUAGUUAAUACCUAGGGAUAGUGGACGUUACUCGCAGAAUAAGCACCGGCUAACUCUGUGCCAGCCGCCGCGGUAA